GAUGGCGCUUAAGCGCGC
This 18-nucleotide small nuclear RNA is filed under the name Arabidopsis thaliana (thale cress). RNAcentral describes it as "snRNA_16030". Lineage: Eukaryota; Viridiplantae; Streptophyta; Magnoliopsida; Brassicales; Brassicaceae. The record is from RNAcentral.